Molecule: ribosomal RNA, 249 nt
Filed under: Triticum aestivum (bread wheat)
Lineage: Eukaryota; Viridiplantae; Streptophyta; Magnoliopsida; Poales; Poaceae
Description: partial small subunit ribosomal RNA
Source: RNAcentral
AUGUGCGGGUGUGCGGAGGCGCUCGUGAGGGCGGUGGUGGCCUUCUUCGACACCUUCCUCGUCGAGUGCUUCCUCUUCUGGUUCCGCCGCCGCCCCGGCCCCGACAGCCCCGCCUCCGCCCACCGGGAUCCGCUCGUGCCCAAGGACUGGACAGGGGAGGCACUCCCGGCCUCGGACGAAGAGAAAGGUUUUGUAGAGAGCACAUUGUCGAACCAGCAGUUGGCAGAUGGCGAUGACACAGAUGAGUAG